Long non-coding RNA from Dermacentor albipictus, 1807 nucleotides. RefSeq lists it as uncharacterized. The record is from RefSeq and is a predicted model, not a curated record. NCBI's taxonomy places the organism in Eukaryota, Metazoa, Arthropoda, Arachnida, Ixodida, Ixodidae.
GUACUGUCGGCGCCAUGGUCGGCGCGGCGUCAACACCCCUAAUACCAUCAUCAGUAAUUAUCUUGUCAACUGCACGAAGCGCGUGUAUUGCGGAGCAUUUAAAAGUUUCAGCAACGGUAUAGAGAAAUUUCUCUUUGACAACGGUGCCAAGAGCUUUCCUGACAAGGCUUCUCCCAUCGGCGCCCUCUGCAAUGGCCUUGAACAAUGAGUUUGUGCUGCAAAGCAUCAUCACAUUCCACCCUGUCACGGAAGGUACCACAGCUCAAGCAUAUCACGGUGUACAUGAGAAGUACGCUCCUAGUCACAGGCGCCACCACAGGUAUGCUUUUAUGACCACUGCUUCAGACCGGAUGAGUGCUACUGCCCUUGCGCAGGAAGGGAAACCUGCCAGCUGACCUUUAAUGGCGACGACUGAUCAGGGCCAAAGCAGAAGUCGCCUAUUUCAUAUGAUGGACAAAACCAGAAGCCAGCAGUACCUGGUGGACACCAGAAUGGAAGUCAGCAUCAUUCCUACACAACAUUCUGACUUGAACGACACCGCCGACCUCUUACCUUCAAGCUGUCAAUGGUAGCAGGAUCCCUAUUUACAAAUCAUGUCCCUUCAUCCUGAACCUUGGCCUGUGUUGUGUGUUCCGUUCGGUUUUCCUCGCCGCUGAUGUUCACUAUGCUCUCGUGGGCACCGACUUCGUGAACUACCAUGGACACACUGCUACGUUGCUCUCUGUUCAUGGCACUGUUUCUCCUGACCCACCUAUAUUCGCCCCAACCAUAACAGUUGCUGGUAAUCCUUUUGCUUGUCUCCUUCAAAAGUUCCCAAACCUCAUGUCACCAUCUGACUGAACAAAACCAGUGCAACAUGAUGUUCGUCAUCACAUCCUAACAACUGGCCCACCUGUUUUUGCUUGCCUAUGAAGACUUGCAUCGGACAAACCUAAUAUUGCCCAAGCAGAGUUCGAACACGUGUUGGAACUUGAAAUUAUAUGGCCAUCAUCAGUCUCCAUUCCAUCCACCUGUUCCCCAAGAAAUCAGGUGACUGGAGGUCAUGCAGGCACUACCGAUCCCUGAACGCAAAAACGAUUCCUGAUAGGCACCCACUGCCUAACAUCCAAGGUUUCCUGUCAUCACUGGAGGGCAAAACAAAAUUUUCAGAAAUUGAUCAGGUGCGAGCCUUUCACUAAAUUCCUGUCGCAGAAGACAUUCCGAAAACGGCAGUUACCACCCCACUUGGUUUCUCAAUUUUUUAGAAUGCCAUUCAGUCUCUGAAAAACUGCACAGGCAUCGAUGCAGCUCAUCGACUCAGCCACAUGUAGUUUGCCGUUUGUGUUCAUCUAUGUUGACAACCUGCUUGUGGCAAGUUCAUCCCAUGAAGAGCACCUCCAGCACCUCCAUCAGCUUUUCGACUCCCUAUCGGCAGAUGGCAUGAAUUAUCUACCCUAUCAAGAGUGAGUUCUGAAUACCAUCACUUGAUUUUCUCAGCCAUCGUUUGGAUGACAAUGGCACCUGCCCUCUUCAUCACAAUGUGCAAGCCGUCGUCAAGUUCCCUAAGCCACCUUCAAUCACUAAGCUACGUCAGUUUCUAGCCUUGGUAAGGUUUUACGGCCGAUUAAUUAGAAACUAAGCUAGAAAUAUGCUGCGGGCACCCCUCUAGCAUUUGCUCUGCGGCAAACACUCGUCAACUGCACUACUCUGGGACACCCUGGCAGAUGAAGCUUUCAAUUCCACCAAGCAUGCUUUCGCCGAUGCCAUAAUGCUGUCUCAUCCCAACCCAAGCUACCCAUUGUCACUUUUUAUUGAUGCUUUUAGCUGU